This 7255-nucleotide long non-coding RNA is filed under the name Citrus x clementina. RNAcentral describes it as "Citrus clementina (C. clementina) long non-coding RNA (CCLE_LNC000308)". The record is from RNAcentral. Lineage: Eukaryota; Viridiplantae; Streptophyta; Magnoliopsida; Sapindales; Rutaceae.
AAACUUUGAAAUAAACAAGUAUUGCUUGAAAUUUUGGUAAAGGACUUAUUUGAAAAGUGUCAUAGCAUUUUUGGCUAUAUCAUAUUUUCAGAAAGUUUUGGGAUUAACAAAGCAUUACUUAGAAAUUUUGAAAUUGGACCUAUUUGAAAAAUUUCAUAACGUUUUGGGCCGUAAUAUAAUUUUAUAAAGUUUUGGGGUCAAACUAUAAUUUCAAAAAAUAGUGCAUUGUGCAGGUUACUGUAGCAUCCGACUUUCCGGAUAUAAAAACUGAAAAAUCAGAUAUUGGGCAGAAUGUAUCCAGAACGUAAACGGCUUACCGGAUUUCGUAACCGGCAAGCCAAAUAGGCAAAAUUCAAAUUUUUGCCUUAACGGUAACAUAAAUCCGGCUUACCGAAUUCCAUAAACGGUAAACUGGAUACGUCCAGAAUGUGCAUAACGACUAGUUUUUGAGUUCAAACUAUAUAAACUCAAAACCAAUUCAUUUUUGGUAAAUCCAAGCAAGCAAGAACAAGUGCACACAACAUAUAUUGAGCUUCAAUUUCGUGAAUCAUCAUUCAUUAAGUCAUCUUUGUUCUUCAAUUUGUAUAUCCACUCCUAAAGAGAGAUUCAUUGUUGUAUUUUUCAUUUCUCAUCAAAUUGUGAGAGUACAAGUGUGAGAAACACUUGGAGUGAAGAGAUUAGAGAGAUAAUCUCUUGUUGUAAAGGUUCAUUGACACCUUGAAGUCAAUUGUAAACGUUUGAAGCCUUGGAAAGGCUUGGAUUGUGAAAUCCUCAAGCCCGGUGUGCUUGGAGGCGUGGACGUAGGCGGGGAUUGCCAAACCACGUAAAAAUCCUUGAGUUUGCUUUCUCUUCCUUUACUGAUUUAUUAUUGUGCUUUCAUUGAAUUUAUUGUUUUCGAAUUAAUUAAGGCAUUAGAUUGGAUUUGUGUGUGGUUUGCUUUGGAUAAUUUUUAAAAUCCCAAUUCACCCUCCCUCUUGGAUUGCCUAGUUAGUAUUUCAUUUGGUAUCAGAGUAAGGUGCUGUUAUGUAGACUUAACCGUCUAGAGUUAAAAGAUCCAUAGCAACCCAUAAUGACUCAAUCUUUAGGGAAGGACAAUCUACAAUUAGACCACCGUUCUUUGACGAUAAUGACUACCCAUAUUGGAAAACUAGGAUGAGAAUUUAUUUACAAGCUUUAGAUUAUGAAAUUUGGGAAAUUGUUUGUGAUGGUCCAUUUAUGCCUUUGACUAAAAACGAAGACGGGGAAGAUAUUCCAAAACCUUCACGGGAAUGGAAUGAAUUGGAAAAGAGAAAAGCUACUCUAAAUUCUAAAGCUAUGAAUGCCUUGUUUUGUGCACUAGAUAAGAAAGAAUUUCAUAGAGUAUCUAGUUGUGAGAGUGCUAAUGAAAUUUGGCACAAACUUGAAGUUGUUUAUGAAGGCACAAAUCAAGUGAAAGAGUCUAAAAUUAGUAGGUACACUCGGCAAUAUGAAUUGUUCCAAAUUGAACAAAAUGAGAGUAUGUAUUCUAUGUAUACUAGAUUUACAGACAUAGUGAACACUCUAGGAGCCCUAGGAAAGACUUUUUCAAAUAGCGAGAAGGUUAAGAAAAUUAUUAGGUCGCUACCUAAGGAAUGGAGACAAAAAAGGACUGCCAUGGAGGAAGCCAAGGAUUUAAAUAUCUUACCUAUUGAUGAUUUAAUUGGUUCUCUUAUUUCUUAUGAGGAAGACUUGGCAGCCGAAAGAGGUAAUGAGGAGAAGAAGAAAAAUAUUGCUCUCAAAGCCUCGAAACAGGAGAGUGAUGAGGAAAGCGAGCUGGAUGAGGAGGAGAUGGAUAUGCUAGCUAGGAGGUUCAGAAAACUUUUUAAGAAAUCCGGUAAGCGAAGAAAAUUUAGAGACCUCAAGAACCGAAAGGAGAAGAAGGAAUUAAUCAAAUGUUAUGAGUGCAAGAAGCUUAGCCAUAUAAGAACGAAAUGUCCUCUUCUCAACAAGCUCAAGAAGAAAGCAAUGGUAGCCACAUGGGAUGAUAGCGAUGAGGAAACAAGUGAUGAUGAAGAGCAUCAAGAAAUGACAAAUCUAGCUCUCAUGGCAAUUGGAGAUGAAUCGGAUGAUGAGGUAAAUGAUCUUUUUACUUAUGAUGAAUUAUAUGAUGCUUUUAAAGAAUUGCAUGCUAAUUGGAUAAAAAUUGGUAAGAAGAAUGCAUGUCUUAAAAAGAAAAUGGUAGAGCUCAAAAAUGAAAAUGAAUCUCUAUGUGCAAAGAUUACAUGCCUAGAAUUAGAGAAUAAAACAUUGCAUGAUAGAGUUGCAUUAUCAAAUGAGAAACCUAGCACUUCACAUGAGCAUCUAGAAUCAUAUGUAGAUGACUUGAAAAAUGAAAAGGAUGCUUUACAAAAAUGCAAUGAUUCAUUAAAUGAAAAGAUUAAAGGACUAGAGUUAGAUAAUAAAAUGUUGCAUGAUAGAAUUGCAUCAUUUAAAUGCAAACAAAGUACUUCAUAUGAGCAUGAAAAAUCACAUGUUGAUGAAUUGAUGAAAGAAAAUGAAGUGCUUAAGAAAAAGAGUAAUGAGCUCAAUGAAAUUGUGUUAAAAUUCACAAGUAGUCAAAAGAACUUAGAAAAAUUACUAAGUACUCAAAAAUGUGUGUUUGAGAAAGGAGGACUUGGGUAUAAGCCUAACUUGAAACAAAAAUAUUAUAAAAAUUAUUUUGUUAAGGCUACCUCCACAAGUGAUCAUAAGAUCGUUUGUCAUUAUUGUAAUGGAAAUGGUCAUAUGAGUUUUAGAUGUCCAAUUAAGAGAAAUGUAUAUUAUGGAGUCAAGUGUAUUUGGGUUCCAAAAGGAACCGUUGCUAACACUCAAGGACCCAAGAACAUUUGGGUACCAAAGCACACAACUUGAAUAUUUUUUGUAGGUACCACAAAUAAGGAAUGGUGGAGAGUUCCUUGAUGAAGCUUGUGAGGAUAAUCAUUUGAGCAUGAUCUAGGAGAAAAAGAUGAGGCAAGAUGAUUUAAUUGUUUUGGUAAUAAUUCUUGUCAUAUUAAUUUUAUUGAAUGGAUCGUGAUAAAUGGAUAAUAGCUUGAAUUUGUGAAAGUAUACUUGUAUGUUUACAUGAUUGAAUUAUCAUUGUGUUUAACAUUGAGUGCUUUAUCAUAAUGCAUGGUUAUAUAUAUAUAAGAUGAUAGCUUGUCAACUCAUCAUGAUAGCUUUGUUUGAUUUUGAUGAUUAUGUAAUGCCUAAGCUUGAUAAAUGAAUGAUAUGUUUGAAUUAUUAAUCUUUGAAUGCUUAUAUGUUUCAUGAUUGUGUAAAAUAUAUACAUGAUGAAUGAAUUAUAUGCGUGAAUUCUUGUGUCGUUAAUUGUGUUAUAUCAUCAUUCACUUAUAAAAUUGAUAUCAUUGUUUGAUACGAUUUCAUAUGUUUGGUCUUGUGUGCAUUUAUGUCUCAUGUAUUAAAUGGCUUAUUGAAAAGUUUUAAAUCUCAAAAUGAUGUAAAAUUAAUCAAUUUUAAAAGCCAAAAAUAAAAUGGUGAGUGUAAUACAAGUAUAAGAGCUAGCCAAUAUUCAAUUAGACACAAAAGGUUUUCCGAGUCUAAACCAGAUUAGCUUUGGUUGCUCUCGGGACAACAUUCGGAUAACCGGAUUUUCAAUCUGGAAAACCGGAUUUGUUAAGCCUCCUCUCUGCCUCAUAACCGGUAUACCGGUUAUCAAAAUCAGAAAGCCGAAUUCGUGGGGAAACUAGCUGGAACAAAACCGGAUUUCCGGUUCAAGACAAUCCAGAAAGCCGAAUUUUCGGAGGCUCUCGAAACCGUCCAGCCGGUUAAGGAAACCGGCAAGCCGAAUUCCCACUUGUUGCUCUCGAGUCCAUAUCCGGCCAACCGGAUUCCAAAUCCGGAAAGCCGUUUUCGGCUUUCACCUUUCUGCCCUCUAACCGGCUUGCCAGUUAGUGAAAUCCGGCAAGCCGGAUUCGUGAGUUUUCUCACUAUUCUUCCUCUUCCUCUCAUUCGGAAUUCCGGUUCUUGUUCUCUUUCUAAAAACCGGUUCCUCUCUCUCAUUUUUUUUUUCAUUCCAAAAUCCAUCAAUCUCAUCCUUUUUUCACUUCAAAUCCUUUAUGCUUGUAUUUGAACACACCAACAUUUACUAUUUUAUUUUUAUUUUAUUUUGCAUUUGGAUUAUAUGGAUGUUUGCUAUGAUUUUAGAUUAUAUGUCUGUUUUGAAUUAUAUGGAUUUGAUAUAGUUAUAUGUUAUGUUCUUUACUUAUGUUUUGGAUAAUUUUGAAUUAAUGUGCUUGAUUUGAGGUUUUAAUGAUUGAUAAGGGGAGACAAAUAUGAUAUGUUUUUGGAUAAAAUCAUUUCGGUUAAAAUUUUAAAUUGGCCAUAUAUUUAGGAGGAGCAUAUAAUAUGAUUUUGGAUAAUAUGCAUUUUGAAUUUUUUUAUUGUCCAAAGGGGGAGACAAAAUAAUAUAUCAUUUCAAUAUUGUCAAAAGGAGGACAAUAAUAUGCACUUUGAGUAUUCUUUCGAUGAUUUUGAUGAUAUGUGAUUAUGGUGAUGAUUUUGAUGAUUUUGAGAUAUGCUGACGAUUUGAUUACAUAGGUGUUUUAUAUGAUAAAUUUAUGUUAUGAGUUGUUGACUUGGUAAUUGAUGGAAUAAUGGUUCAUGAUAUUUUAGUGUGAUGAUUUGUGUAUGUAGUUGGCUUUUAUCAUGAUCUAUAAUAAUUUGGAUGUGUAUUAAAUUUGUAUUUGAGGUGAUGCUUGUUGUUAGGGAGAGAUUCUUUCAAAAUUUCUACUCAAACAACAUGGGUAACAAAUUUGUUACUUUUAUUCUUUUCCUUUACGUUUUCUUUUUUAUGAUGAAGGGGGAGAAGAAUACAUGUCUUCAAAUUCAUAAAAAAAAAAAAAUUCUUUGCCAAUUAAGUUUUUCUUUUUGAUGAUGAGGGGGAGAAAAAUCCAUGUAUUUAAAUAUGUUAAUUUAACUAAUUGGCAAAUUAUAAGAGAAGAUUAUUUUUAGGGGGAGCAAUUUAUGGAAUCAUUCUUUAAAUACAUGAAAUGUUUGUCAUCGUAAAAAAGGGGGAGAUUGUUAACAUAUAUGUUUCCAUAAUAUUGAUUUUGAUGAUAACAAAUAAGAUUAAGAAUGAUUAAUCUUUUAAGCCCAAAUUAUUUAAUAUUCUUUUUAAAUAAAUCAUUAUUUUUACAUUAUAAAGGUUUUAUAUUUAAUGAAAAAAUGAUUUUAUGAAAUUGAUUGUUUUUAUUCUUUUUAAAUAAAUCAUUAUUUUCACAUUAUAAAUGUUUCAUAUUUAAUGGAAAAAUGAUUUUAUGAAAUUGGUUGUUUUUCAAAGUUUAUGGUUUAAUUGAAAGAAUUUUGAAAACUUUGAAAUAAACAAGUAUUGCUUGAAAUUUUGGUAAAGGACUUAUUUGAAAAGUGUCAUAGCAUUUUUGGCUAUAUCAUAUUUUCAGAAAGUUUUGGGAUUAACAAAGCAUUACUUAGAAAUUUUGAAAUUGGACCUAUUUGAAAAAUUUCAUAACGUUUUGGGCCGUAAUAUAAUUUUAUAAAGUUUUGGGGUCAAACUAUAAUUUCAAAAAAUAGUGCAUUGUGCAGGUUACUGUAGCAUCCGGCUUACCGGAUAUAAAAACCGGAAAACUAGAUAUUGGGCAGAAUGUAUCCAGAACGUAAACGGCUUACCGGAUUUCGUAACCGACGAGCCGAAUAGGCAAAAUUCAAAAUUUUGCCUUAACGGUAACAUAAAUCCGGCUUAUCGGAUUCCAUAAACGGCAAACCGAAUACGCCCAGAAUGUGCAUAACGACUAAUUCUUGAGUUCAAACUAUAUAAACUCAAAACCAAUUCAUUUUUAGUAAAUCCAAGCAAGCAAGAACAAGUGCACAUAACAUAUAUUGAGCUUCAAUUUCAUGAAUCAUCAUUCAUUAAAUCAUCUUUGUUCUUCAAUUUGUAUAUCCACUCCUAAAGAGAGAUUCAUUGUUGUAUUUUUCAUUUCUCAUCAAAUUGUGAGAGUACAAGUGUGAGAAACACUUGGAGUGAAGAGAUUGGCGAGAUAAUCUCUUGUUGUAAAGGUUCAUUGACACCUUGAAGUCAAUUGUAAACGUUUGAAGCCUUGGAAAGGCUUGGAUUGUGAAAUCCUCAAGCCCGGUAUGCUUGGAGGCGUGGACGUAGGCGGGGAUUGCCGAACCACAUAAAAAUCUUUAAGUUUGCUUUCUCUUCCUUUACUCAUUUAUUAUUGUGCUUUCAUUGAAUUUAUUGUUUUCGAAUUAAUUAAGACAUUAGAUUGGAUUUGUGUGUGGUUUGCUUAGGAUAAUUUUUAAAAUUCCAAUUCACCCCCCUCUUGGAUUGCCUAGUUAGUAUUUCAAAUAAUUCUAAUUCUAAAUUAUGAUUUUUCAAUCCGAGAAGUAAACACAUUAUUAUGGUAUUGGCUAAGCAAUUAAACUUCGGCACGUGUACCGUACAUAUGUCAAAUUAAAAUUUCACAUACUUGACAAGUGGAGGAAGCAUUCUGACUAAUGAUUUACGUGGAGAAACACCGCUGCUUCCAUAACAUGGGUGUGAUUAUAUAAGCACCUCAUAUUUUACGAGGCAUACUUGCAAAUUGCAAUGAUGCUGUAGUAGCUCUGGUGGACUAAUAGUGGCUGGAGAUUGAUGUGAUUAAGAGUGUAUUUGAGAGUGAGGUACUGUAACUUUUAAGAUGCAGUUGUUGUGGAGUAAAAGUUACAAAUGUAGAAUAGAAAUUGAGAAAAAAAAUUUAUUAAACUACCAAAGUCCAACUAUAAGUGUUACCAAAUACUUUAGUAGCUGGACUUUAACAGUCCAACUACCUCACCACACUCUCAAAAGGACUAUAAGAAGCUACAAGUGACGUAACUUUUCAGCUACCUUUCGUUCAAGUUGUAAAGCCAACAGACAACCAUGUGCAAGUGUCUGAUUGUCUGUACUGACUGCCUAGCGCCCACUUGGAUAAGUUUGGGCCCUCCAAGUUUCACGUGUGUUGAAAUGGUCUCGUAAUGAUUUUAUUUAUUUUCAAAUCCUUUCGUUUUUUUUUUUUUUUUUGGUCAAAAAAAUAAAAAAUAAAAAAAAUCCUUUGGCUUGAGCUUAGUUACAUACUUACAUGAUUGUCACGCGGUCUUUAGCCGAGUGAUGGCUGCAACUUUCGUAAUUUGAAUCCUUUAGACGAUUCAUGAGUCUUCUUUAAAAAUAAAAUUUGGAUGGAAAUCUUUCAUUAAUUUGUGGGUGUAACAAAUAUUUCGUUUGGGCCAUAUUAUUCUAGAGUAGAUGUUAUUUCCAAUAGAU